GUGGGGAAUAUUGGACAAUGGGCGCAAGCCUGAUCCAGCCAUGCCGCGUGAGUGAUGAAGGCCUUAGGGUUGUAAAGCUCUUUCACCGAUGAAGAUAAUGACGGUAGUCGGAGAAGAAGCCCGGCUAACUUCGUGCCAGCAGCCGCGGUAAUACGAAGGGGGCUAGCGUUGUUCGGAUUUACUGGGCGUAAAGCGCACGUAGGCGGUUUGUUAAGUCAGGGGUGAAAUCCCGGAGCUCAACUCCGGAACUGCCUUUGAUACUGGCAAGCUAGAGUCCGGAAGAGGUAAGUGGAACUCCUAGUGUAGAGGUGGAAUUCGUAGAUAGUAGGAAGAACACCAGUGGCGAAGGCGGCUUACUGGUCCGGAACUGACGCUGAGGUGCGAAAGCGUGGGGAGCAAACAGGAUUAGAUACCCUAGUAGUCC
Molecule: ribosomal RNA, 424 nt
Filed under: uncultured bacterium
Lineage: Bacteria
Description: partial 16S ribosomal RNA
Rfam family: Bacterial small subunit ribosomal RNA
Source: RNAcentral